CCCUUAGAUGUUCUGGGCCGCACGCGUGCUACACUGAGUGGAUCAGCGGGUCAGGUUGCGCGAAAGUGUUUCCUAAUCUUGAAAUCCGCUCGUGAUGGGGAUUGACGGUUGCAAUUUUCCGUCAUGAACGAGGAAUACCUUGUAAGCGCGGGUCAUCAUCCCGCGCUGAAUACGUCCCUGCCCUUUGUACACACCGCCCGUCGCUCCUACCGAUUGAGUGGUUCGGUGAGGCUUUGGGAUCUGAGCGGAAAGAGCGUUUCGCUGUUUCUGCUCGGAAAACUCAGUCGAACCUUAUCAUUUAGAGGAAGGAGAAGUCGUAACA
This 322-nucleotide ribosomal RNA is filed under the name uncultured eukaryote. RNAcentral's name for it is "partial 18S ribosomal RNA". It matches the Rfam family "Eukaryotic small subunit ribosomal RNA", at positions 1470 to 1796 of the family's 1831-position model. The record is from RNAcentral.